Choloepus didactylus (southern two-toed sloth) is the source of this 1130-nucleotide long non-coding RNA. RefSeq lists it as uncharacterized. The transcript is spliced from 3 exons. The record is from RefSeq and is a predicted model, not a curated record. Lineage: Eukaryota; Metazoa; Chordata; Mammalia; Pilosa; Megalonychidae.
ACCGACCCCUCCGAGUCUUGGAGGGGAAGGGAGUUCCGGGGCGGGUAUGAUCCAUGCGGCUGCGGAAGGCUGUGAACCGGGAGGAGGAGAGGCUUCUGGGGCCGGGAAGGGUUGCUUUCUUCUUACCUGUUUCACCUGCUAAGAUGAGUCAACAACAUAACCAGAUGAUCAAUACCCUACCCUGUGUUCUCCACACCUGAUUUGGGGACUGGAUGAAAGGGUGCAGAAGAGACUACAUCAACCACUGAAGAUCACAUCAGGAGUAAAUUUUGCAAUGGGCUUUAUAUUAUGAUUUUUCCUUUUCAAGGGAGAGAAGUUUGGGGCUAGUAACAGCAUGAGAACAGAUAUAGAAACCUUUAAGCCAUGUUUGGGAAAUUAUGGAUAAUCUCUUGUGGUUAGAGUGUAUGGUGUACUAGUCAAGGUUCUCCAGGGAAACAGAACUGACACGACAUAUAAUGUAAAUAUUAUUAGAUUUAUUGUAGGAAUUGGCUCUCAUCACUGUGGGGAUUCGCAAGUCUGAAUCCAUAAGGCAGACUAUAAGCUGGGAACUCCAUUGAAGGUUUUGAUGAAUUCCCCAGGAGAAGCUGUCUGGCUGAAGUAGAGAUAGACAUUCUUCUUUCUGACUGCUGAAAUUAUCAAUUCUCCCUUUAAGGCCUUCAACUGAUUGUGUGAGACUUCUAUCACUGUUGAGGCAAUCUUCUUUGUUGAUUGUGAAUGUGAUCAGUCAUAGAUGCAAUCAUCUGACUGAUGAUUUAAAUCUAUGAAAUUUCCUCACAGUAAUAAUCUGCCAGUACUUGCUUGACUGAACAACUGGACACCAUAACCCAGCCAAGCUGACACAUCAACUCAACCAUCACAUGUGAUAUGUGUGUUUGGGUUGGGGGGGGGUGGUUGCUGUCAGAAAUAAAGGUGGAAUGACAUGUGACCAUACUAUUAGGGAUUUUAAAUGUCACAUAAAGGAGUUUGAACUUUAUCCGAAAGACAGUGGGGAGCCACUGAAGUUUUUUGAGCAAGGAAGUAUCAUGAUUGGUUGUGUUUUCAGACACUGGCCUAUGAAGAAGAAUGAAGGGUGGAAUGGAAGAGGCAGUGGGGAAAGAGCAGGGUGAAAAGAUGAUGGGGAGCCUAUUGCA